RNAcentral lists this transfer RNA (73 nucleotides) under Azospira oryzae. Its description in RNAcentral is "tRNA-Leu". It matches the Rfam family "tRNA". From Rfam's summary of the family: Transfer RNA (tRNA) molecules are approximately 80 nucleotides in length. Their secondary structure includes four short double-helical elements and three loops (D, anti-codon, and T loops). Lineage: Bacteria; Pseudomonadati; Pseudomonadota; Betaproteobacteria; Rhodocyclales; Rhodocyclaceae. The record is from RNAcentral.
GCCGAAGUGACGGAACGGGAUACGUGCUGGUCUUAGAAAUCAGAUUUUGAGAGUUCGAAUCUCUCCUUCGGUA